CUUUUAUAGAGGCAAGGCAAGGCAAUUUUGUUAAUGUGAUACAUUUCAUACACAAGGCAACUCAAUGUCCUUCACACAAGCAAAGACCUACAAGCAUUUACAAAACAACAUUAACAACAUUCAAAAGCAAAUCAGAGAAAGCAAAAGUGGCUUACAAAAAUUACUGUCAUGAUUUGGUUUAGGGACCAACAGGUGGCACUGUAGGGCUCCCCUGGCAGCUGCACACCUGUUGGUCAGAACUAAUUAGGGCGUUAAAAGGACUCCCAGCCUGAAAACUCAGUGUCGGGUCAUUGUUUGUUCUCGCUACUGUCAUGUGUGUUGCUGUUUGCUCUUGUUUUCUGUCAUGUUUAGUUCAUUGUUAUGUUUUAGAUUUAGUCAUGGUUUUUGUUUGAUACUUUGGACUUUGUGUGUUUUGGAUUUAGUUUUCUUUGUUUUAAAUACAAUUCUUCAAAUACA
Molecule: long non-coding RNA, 456 nt
Organism: Hippocampus zosterae (dwarf seahorse)
Lineage: Eukaryota; Metazoa; Chordata; Actinopteri; Syngnathiformes; Syngnathidae
Exons: 2
Source: RefSeq, a predicted model, not a curated record